UACGGAGGGUGCAAGCGUUAAUCGGAAUUACUGGGCGUAAAGCGCGCGUAGGCGGUUUUUUAAGUCGGGUGUGAAAGCCCCGGGCUCAACCUGGGAACUGCAUCCGAUACUGGAAGACUAGAAUGCGGGAGAGGGAGGUAGAAUUCCAUGUGUAGCAGUGAAAUGCGUAGAUAUAUGGAGGAAUACCAGUGGCGAAGGCGGCCUCCUGGCUCGACAUUGACGCUGAGGUGCGAAAGCGUGGGGAGCAAACGGG
RNAcentral lists this ribosomal RNA (253 nucleotides) under uncultured bacterium. RNAcentral's name for it is "partial 16S ribosomal RNA". It matches the Rfam family "Bacterial small subunit ribosomal RNA", at positions 524 to 776 of the family's 1533-position model. The record is from RNAcentral.